This 398-nucleotide ribosomal RNA is filed under the name Mycale grandis. RNAcentral describes it as "eukaryotic LSU rRNA". It matches the Rfam family "Eukaryotic large subunit ribosomal RNA", at positions 821 to 1219 of the family's 3401-position model. Lineage: Eukaryota; Metazoa; Porifera; Demospongiae; Poecilosclerida; Mycalidae. The record is from RNAcentral.
AGAUGGUGAACUAUGCCUGAAUAGGGCGAAGCCAGGGGAAACCCUGGUGGAAGCCCGCAGCGAUUCUGACGUGCAAAUCGAUCGUCAAAUUUGGGUAUAGGGGCGAAAGACUAAUCGAACCGUCUAGUAGCUGGUUCCCUCCGAAGUUUCCCUCAGGAUAGCUGGAGCCCGGUGCAGUUUUAUCAGGUAAAGCGAAUGAUUAGAGGUCUUGGGGUCGAAACGACCUCAACCUAUUCUCAAACUUUAAAUGGGUAAGAGGUCCGGCUUGCUCGGCUGAAGUCGGACGUGGAAUGCCGGGGCUCCUAGUGGGCCAUUUUUGGUAAGCAGAACUGGCGAUGUGGGAUGAACCGAAAGCCGGGUUAAGGUGCCCGAAUCGACGCUCAGCAGAUACCAGGAAG